Molecule: long non-coding RNA, 354 nt
Organism: Pseudopipra pipra
Lineage: Eukaryota; Metazoa; Chordata; Aves; Passeriformes; Pipridae
Exons: 2
Source: RefSeq, a predicted model, not a curated record
GUCUGACCUUUAUGGAGAUGCUGAAGCGCCCCCAACCGCCUUAACUGGUCCUUACUGGUCCCACCGCCCCAUUCCCCAUUCCAGUGACCCGUACUGGUCCAUACUGGCCUAUACUGGUUUAUACUGGUCUAUACUGGUCUAUACUGGUCUGACCUUGAUGGAGAUGCUGAAGUGCCCCCAACCCCCUUAACUGGUCCUUACUGGUCCCACUGCCCCGUUCCCAAUUCCAGUGACCCGUACUGAUCUUUACUGGUUUAUACUGGUCUAUACUGGUCCAUACUGGUCCAUACUGGUUUAUACUGGUCUAUACUGAUCUAUACUGGUCUAUACUGGUCUGUACUGGUCUGUACUGGU